CAGUCGCCACGGUAAUACGUAGGUCCCGAGCGUUGUCCGGAUUUAUUGGGCGUAAAGCGAGCGCAGGCGGUUAGAUAAGUCUGAAGUUAAAGGCUGUGGCUUAACCAUAGUACGCUUUGGAAACUGUUUAACUUGAGUGCAAGAGGGGAGAGUGGAAUUCCAUGUGUAGCGGUGAAAUGCGUAGAUAUAUGGAGGAACACCGGUGGCGAAAGCGGCUCUCUGGUUUGUAACUGACGCUGAGGCUCGAAAGCGUGGGGAGCAAACAGGAUUAGAUACCCGCGUAGUCCCUGUCUCUUAUACC
Molecule: ribosomal RNA, 301 nt
Filed under: uncultured bacterium
Lineage: Bacteria
Description: partial 16S ribosomal RNA
Rfam family: Bacterial small subunit ribosomal RNA
Source: RNAcentral